UGCUUCUACAAAACUCUAUUUAAGUGUUUAUAUCCAAAGUAAAACAUCACGACCCGCACAUGCUGCAGCAGAACAACAAGAUCGUUGCUCAUUGUCACCUGUACCGGACCAGUUUCGGAUUUCUGUGGAGUUUUUGAAGGCUUUAUACAACGUGCAACACAUAAGACCAUCAGAUCUACUGGGAGGAGCAGUUCAUGGAGUAGACAUGGAACCAACAGUCAGAUUCCGGGUCCUCAUUGAUCACGAGGUCAAAAACCUACACUCAACAGUGGCAUACCCUCAACUGUGGAUGAAUUGGUUGCAGCCAUCAAAGAACAAUUUGCCAUCACCACAGAAAUCAGUCUUCAGUACAAAGAUGAAGAGUUUGAUGACUUUUUCACCCUAUCGACCACAAAGGAACUUAAAGAUAAAGACACACUGAAAGUAGUGUAUGUACCGCUAAACAUAACA
Long non-coding RNA from Onychostoma macrolepis, 450 nucleotides. RefSeq lists it as uncharacterized. The record is from RefSeq and is a predicted model, not a curated record. The transcript has 3 exons. NCBI's taxonomy places the organism in Eukaryota, Metazoa, Chordata, Actinopteri, Cypriniformes, Cyprinidae.